UACGAAGGGUGCAAGCGUUACUCGGAAUUACUGGGCGUAAAGCGUGCGUAGGUGGUUUUUUAAGUCCGUUGUGAAAGCCCCGGGCUCAACCUGGGAAUGGCCGUUGAAACUGGCGAACUGGAGUGUGGCAGAGGGGGGUGGAAUUCCGCGUGUAGCAGUGAAAUGCGUAGAGAUGCGGAGGAACACCGAUGGCGAAGGCAGCCCCCUGGGCUGACACUGACGCUCAGGCACGAAAGCGUGGGGAGCAAACAGG
RNAcentral lists this ribosomal RNA (253 nucleotides) under uncultured bacterium. RNAcentral's name for it is "partial 16S ribosomal RNA". It matches the Rfam family "Bacterial small subunit ribosomal RNA", at positions 524 to 776 of the family's 1533-position model. The record is from RNAcentral.